Molecule: RNA transcript, 3021 nt
Organism: Juglans microcarpa x Juglans regia
Lineage: Eukaryota; Viridiplantae; Streptophyta; Magnoliopsida; Fagales; Juglandaceae
Gene name: disease resistance protein RUN1-like
Exons: 4
Source: RefSeq, a predicted model, not a curated record
AAUUUCAUGCGAGUUUAAUUACACAUAACAGUACUAGUGACCCACUCAAACCAUCUUAUCCACUUCCUUAACAUAAAGCUCUCCACUCGCAUGUCUCUCUGCACUCAAUAACUCCUGACCCUUCUUCCUUCAAACAAGCUAGCAAGAUUUCAAUCUCUUCCAUGGCCAUCCCAAAUGUCUCCUCCUCCUCGUCUUCCCCUCAACGGAAUCAUGACGUGUUUCUGAGUUUCAGAGGGGAAGAUACCCGCAAUACCUUUACCGGUCAUCUAUAUAACGCUCUCGUUAUAAAGGGGAUCAAAACCUUCAGAGAUGACGUGGAUCUUCAGAAGGGAAACGAAAUCUCCCCAGUACUUUUGGAAGCCAUCGAACAAUCUAAGAUUUCCAUCAUCGUCUUCUCUAAGAACUAUGCCACUUCCACGUGGUGCUUAGAUGAACUCGUCAAGAUUCUCGACUGUCGGAAAUCAAUUGGCCAAAUGGUUCGACCCAUUUUCUACGAUGUGGGUCCUUCAGAUGUGCGGAAACAGUUUGGAGAAGUGAUGGAAUGCAUGAAAAGAAAUUCAAGGAUGAUAUGCAGAGGGUGUUGAGGUGGAAGGUGGCUCUCAAAGAGGCAGCCAAUUUGUCUGGUUGGCAUUUGAACAAUGGGCAUGAGUCCGAUUUUAUCCAGAGCAUUGUUGAAGAGAUAUCAAGUGGAAUAUUGAAGUGCACAUUUCUAGAUGUUGCGAAGAACCCAGUCGGAUUACAUUCUCACAUAGAUGCCAUGAGUGAGUUGUUGAGUGUUGGGUAUGACGACGUUCGCAUGGUUGGAAUCCAUGGAAUUGGAGGAAUAGGUAAAACAACUAUUGCAAAAGCUGUAUAUAACUUAUUUGCUGGUCAAUUUCAAAGUUUCAGCUUUCUUGCUAACGUCCGAGAAACUACAAAGCGGUGCGGCCUUGUUCAAUUACAAGAAACACUUCUAUCUGAGACGUUGGGCAAUACCAACUUAAAGGUUGGAAACGAGGAUAGAGGAAUUAAUGUAAUAAAGGAGAGGCUCUGCCAUAUGAAGGUUCUUUUAGUUCUUGAUGAUGUCAAUAAGUUGGAACAACUUGAGAAAUUAGCAGGAGAUAAGAAUUGGUUUGGUCCAGGAAGUAGAAUCAUUAUUACAACUAGAGAUCAACAUGUUCUAGAUACCCAUGGGGUAGAAAGAAAGUACGAGGUCCGAGGAUUAAGUCAUGCUGAUGCUCUUCAACUUCUUAGUUGGAAUGCAUUCAAGAAAUCUUAUCCUGAAAAAUGGUAUGAGAAGCUCAUGGAUCGUGUGGUUCAGUACGCCAAGGGCCUUCCCUUGGUUCUAGUGGUGCUGGGAUCUCUCCUAUAUCGUAGAAGCGAAGCUGAAUGGGAAAGCACAAUAUGUAAAUUGCAAAAAAGUCUUCAUAAAGAGAUCUACGAAAUACUAAAAAUAAGCUUUGAUGCACUGGAGGACAAUGAGAAGGCUAUCUUCCUUGAUAUUGCGUGUUUCUUCAAGGGAGAAAACAAAGAUUUUGUAACUGAAGUUUUGGAAGCAAGUGAUUUUGAUCCAAUUAUUGGAAUACAAGUUCUCAUUGAAAGAUCUUUGGUGAAUAUUGGAUACCUAGGCCAAUUGCAGAUGCAUGACGUGAUACAAUUGAUGGGUAGGAAUAUCGUUCAUAAAGAAUCUCCCAACGAGCCAGGAAAGCGUAGCCGAUUAUGGUCUCAUGAGGAUAUUCUCCAUGUUCUUAUGGAAAACACGGGAACUAAUGCAAUUCAAGGCAUAAAGCUAGAUUCGUUCGGACAAAAAGAUAUUUUGCUGAAUCCUGGAGCCUUUACAGAAAUGAAAAGGCUUAGACUACUUAUAAUACGUAAUGCACGCUUUUCAGAGGGUCCUAAAAGUUUGUCUAAUGAGCUAAGAUUUCUUGAUUGGACUGGAUACCCGUCACCAUCUCUGCCCUCCAAUUUUCAUCCCCAGAAACUUGUUACUCUCAACAUGUGUCACAGUAAAAUCAAGCAAUUCGAAGGAAUAAAGCUGGUAAAGUUAUGAUCUAAAUAUCUUAUUUCUUAUCUGGAGUUUAAAAUAAGAAUUCAGAUGCUUGGAUCAAUUUUUCUGGAUUUAAAAAAAUAUAUAUAUACUUGUAAAAAUGAAAUUAUAUGGGUAAUUCUUGGAAGCUAAUACAAUAUUGGUCCUUUCACCUUUAUUUUCCAGGUUUGUGAAAAUUUGAGAAAAAUAAAUUUUUCUUACAGUGAAUACUUGACGUGCAUCCCCGAUGUCUCAACGAUGGCAAAUCUUGAGAAUUUGAAUCUUAAUGGUUGUGGCAAUUUAGUUGAGGUUCAUCAAUCUCUUGGAUUUCUAAACAAACUGUCUAGUUUGGAUGUGAAUUAUUGCUCUAAACUUGGACGUCUUCCUAACCUGAAGUUGCCACUUCUUGAAUUCCUAAGACUUGGUGAGGGCACAAGUAUUGAGAAAUUUCCAAAUAUUUUGGGAGAAAUUCCUCGUUUAAGGCAAAUUAUUUUUGAUAACAGUCCCAUUCAAGAACUGCCUUCGUCAGUUGAAUAUCUCAUUGGGCUUGAAUUCAUACAAAUACAUUCAUGCAAGAAGCUUAGAGAUCUCCCUAGAAGCAUUUCUAAGUUGCCACGUCUGAAGUCUCUUGGUCUUUGGGGUUGCACAAACCUUGGAAGGUUUCCAAAAUCAUCGUCGUUGUCAUCAUCAACAAGUUCGGGCUUUCGAAGUGUUGAUAUGAGGUUCUCUGAUGGGUUUCCAGCUUUGGAAGUGUUGAUCAUCUUUAACUGUGAUCUAGCAGAAGUUGAUUUCCUCGAGAGUUUUCAUUGCUUUCCCAUGCUACAAUAUUUGGUUCUAUCAGGAAACAAUUUCGUUAGCAUCCCUGCAUGUAUGAUCACUAGAUUUACCAAUUUGCGAUCCCUUAUAGUGGUGGAAAAUCCUUCAUCGAUAAUUUAACGAUGAUGAUGCCUAUGGUAUAUAGAUUCUGUAGAAAAAUGGCAAUUAGAAUAAAAGUUAGAGGAGGGGAGUUACCAGAA